Molecule: ribosomal RNA, 253 nt
Filed under: uncultured bacterium
Lineage: Bacteria
Description: partial 16S ribosomal RNA
Rfam family: Bacterial small subunit ribosomal RNA
Source: RNAcentral
UACGGAGGGGGCGAGCGUUAUUCGGAAUUAUUGGGCGUAAAGGGCGCGUAGGCGGCUUGACAAGUCAAAGGUGAAAUCCCUCGGCUCAACUGAGGAACUGCCUUUGAAACUGUCUGGCUUGAGGCCGGGAGGGGGUAGCGGAAUUCCCAGUGUAGCGGUGAAAUGCGUAGAUACUGGGAGGAACACCAGUGGCGAAGGCGGCAUCCUGGACCGACAUUGACGCUGAGGAGCGAAAGCUAGGGGAGCAAACGGG